AUUGAACGCUGGCGGAAUGCUUUACACAUGCAAGUCGAACGGCAGCACGGACUUCGGUCUGGUGGCGAGUGGCGAACGGGUGAGUAAUGUAUCGGAACGUGCCCAGUCGUGGGGGAUAACGUAGUGAAAAUUACGCUAAUACCGCAUACGAUCUAUGGAUGAAAGCGGGGGAUCGCAAGACCUCGCGCGAUUGGAGCGGCCGAUAUCAGAUUAGGUAGUUGGUGGGGUAAAGGCCCACCAAGCCAACGAUCUGUAGCUGGUCUGAGAGGACGACCAGCCAAACUGGAACUGAGACACGGUCCAGACUCCUACGGGAGGCAGCAGUGGGGAAUUUUGGACAAUGGGCGAAAGCCUGAUCCAGCCAUUCCGCGUGCAGGAUGAAGGCACUCGGGUUGUAAACUGCUUUUGUACAGAACGAAAAGGUUUCUACUAAUACUAGGAGCUCAUGACGGUACUGUAAGAAUAAGCACCGGCUAACUACGUGCCAGCAGCCGCGGUAA
Molecule: ribosomal RNA, 500 nt
Filed under: uncultured bacterium
Lineage: Bacteria
Description: partial 16S ribosomal RNA
Rfam family: Bacterial small subunit ribosomal RNA
Source: RNAcentral